Molecule: non-coding RNA, 126 nt
Organism: Callorhinus ursinus (northern fur seal)
Lineage: Eukaryota; Metazoa; Chordata; Mammalia; Carnivora; Otariidae
Source: RefSeq, a predicted model, not a curated record
UCAGACAUGUGCCUUCCGAUCUGAACAGAUUGCCAAGAGACGGAGGCUGUCCUCUCUGAGAGCUUCUACCUCUAAGUCUGAGUCCAGUCAAAAAUGAGAUUUUCUAAGAGUGACAAAUAAAUAAGA